This 147-nucleotide non-coding RNA is filed under the name pig gut metagenome. The record is from RNAcentral.
GAUGGAGGAAAUCAUGUAGCGAGACUCUCGAGCCUACGUAUAGAAACUUGGUAAAAGACUAAAUGGGAAAGAGUAAGACUACAUGACAAGUCGAAGCCCGAAUGGUAAACGUAUUCUCCAAGACAGUAAACAAAGAGGUUGUGGAGU